ACUGUCUCUGGCUUUUUGGGGGAACCCGUGAGCACUGUGCAGCGUCUUCGUUUUCUCUCGUCUCUACUUUNCACUCUACACCUGUGCACUAUUGUAAGUCCUCGCAAGGGGAUCUAUGUCUUCUUAUCACACUUUAUCGUAUGGCCACGAAUGUAUUUAAAUCAAUUACAACUUUCANCAACAGGAUCUCUUGGCUCUCGCAUCNAUGAAGAACGCAGCGAAUCUGCGAUAAAUAAUGUGAAUUGCAAAUUUUCAUUGAAUCAUCUAAUCUUUGAACGCACCUUGCGCUCCUUGGUAUUCCGAGGAGCAUGCCUGUUGUGAGUGUCGUUUUCAUUCUCAAUCAAGGCUAGAUUCAUUUCUAGACUUGACUUGGACUUGGCGGUUGCUGGCGGCCUUUGUGGCUAUCAUCUCUUCUGAAAUGCAUUACCGUGGCGCGUAUCUGGCUUUAAAUGACGUAACGGCUCUGGAUGUGAUAAUGAUCGUCCUUGGCUGGAGCGUCUGGAGGGACUUGCAGACUGCGUCCGUGCUUC
RNAcentral lists this ribosomal RNA (530 nucleotides) under uncultured Boletaceae. RNAcentral's name for it is "eukaryotic LSU rRNA". The stretch from base 170 to 327 matches the Rfam family "5.8S ribosomal RNA". The record is from RNAcentral. Lineage: Eukaryota; Fungi; Basidiomycota; Agaricomycetes; Boletales; Boletaceae.